Molecule: ribosomal RNA, 465 nt
Filed under: uncultured bacterium
Lineage: Bacteria
Description: partial 16S ribosomal RNA
Rfam family: Bacterial small subunit ribosomal RNA
Source: RNAcentral
CUACGGGUCGCAGCAGUGAGGAAUAUUGCGCAAUGGGGGAAACCCUGACGCAGCGACGCCGCGUGAGUGAGGAAGGCCUUCGGGUCGUAAAACUCUGUCAGAAGGGAAGAAAUGUGUAUCGGUUAAUAUCCGGUAUGCUUGACGGUACCUUCAAAGGAAGCACCGGCUAACUCCGUGCCAGCAGCCGCGGUAAUACGGAGGGUGCAAGCGUUGUUCGGAAUCACUGGGCGUAAAGGGCGCGCAGGCGGCUUGGUAAGUCAGAUGUGAAAGCCCACGGCUUAACCGUGGAAGUGCAUUUGAAACUGGCAGGCUUGAGUACCAGAGGGGGGGGUGGAAUUCCCGGUGUAGAGGUGAAAUUCGUAGAUACCGGGAGGAAUACCGGUGGCGAAGGCGACUUCCUGGCUGAGUACUGACGCUGAGGCGCGAAAGCGUGGGGAGCAAACAGGAUUAGAUACCCCGGUAGUC